UAUUGGACAAUGGGCGAAAGCCUGAUCCAGCCAUGCCGCGUGUGUGAAGAAGGUCUUCGGAUUGUAAAGCACUUUAAGUUGGGAGGAAGGGCAGUUACCUAAUACGUGAUUGUAUUGACGUUACCGACAGAAUAAGCACCGGCUAACUCUGUGCCAGCAGCCGCGGUACUACAGAGGGUGCAAGCGUUAAUCGGAAUUACUGGGCGAAAGCGCGCGUAGGUGGUUAGUUAAGUUGGAUGUAAAUCCCCGGGCUCAACCUGGAACUGCAUUCAAAACUACUACAGAGAUGGUAGAGGGUGGUGGAAUUUCCUGUGAGCGGUAAAUGCGAAAAAAUGGAAGAACACCAGUGGCGAGGCGCCACCUGGCUGUCUGCUCUGAGUCAAAUCGAUAGU
RNAcentral lists this ribosomal RNA (392 nucleotides) under uncultured bacterium. RNAcentral describes it as "bacterial SSU rRNA". It matches the Rfam family "Bacterial small subunit ribosomal RNA", at positions 362 to 760 of the family's 1533-position model. The record is from RNAcentral.